Molecule: transfer RNA, 77 nt
Filed under: Halobacteriovoraceae bacterium
Lineage: Bacteria; Pseudomonadati; Bdellovibrionota; Bacteriovoracia; Bacteriovoracales; Halobacteriovoraceae
Also listed under: 1 other name
Description: tRNA-Arg
Rfam family: tRNA
About the family: Transfer RNA (tRNA) molecules are approximately 80 nucleotides in length. Their secondary structure includes four short double-helical elements and three loops (D, anti-codon, and T loops).
Source: RNAcentral
GCAACCGUAGCUCAGCUGGAUAGAGCAACCGCCUUCUAAGCGGUCGGUCGGAGGUUCGAAUCCUCCCGGUUGCGCCA